AUUGAACGCUGGCGGCAGGCCUAACACAUGCAAGUCGAGCGGCAGCGGAAAGUAGCUUGCUACUUUGCCGGCGAGCGGCGGACGGGUGAGUAAUGUCUGGGAAACUGCCUGAUGGAGGGGGAUAACUACUGGAAACGGUAGCUAAUACCGCAUGACCUCGAAAGAGCAAAGUGGGGGAUCUUCGGACCUCACGCCAUCGGAUGUGCCCAGAUGGGAUUAGCUAGUAGGUGAGGUAAUGGCUCACCUAGGCGACGAUCCCUAGCUGGUCUGAGAGGAUGACCAGCCACACUGGAACUGAGACACGGUCCAGACUCCUACGGGAGGCAGCAGUGGGGAAUAUUGCACAAUGGGCGCAAGCCUGAUGCAGCCAUGCCGCGUGUGUGAAGAAGGCCUUACGGUUGUAAAGCACGUUCGCCCCCGAGGAGGGCAACAGACUUAAGACGUGUGGUGAUUGACGUUGGUCGGAGACGAAAUUCCGGCGAAGUCCGUGCCCGACGCAGAGUGCUAGGGAUCGUCCCCAAUUAAUCCAUUUACCGAGUGUGAAGGUAACCGAGGGGGUGGUCAGAGGCGUGAGAUACCCCAAAGUCGGUUGAGGUGGGCUAGGUAGGGGGAAGUAGGAUCUUGUUCCAGGAGUUACCCCAUAGA
Molecule: ribosomal RNA, 645 nt
Filed under: uncultured Streptococcus sp.
Lineage: Bacteria; Bacillati; Bacillota; Bacilli; Lactobacillales; Streptococcaceae
Description: bacterial SSU rRNA
Rfam family: Bacterial small subunit ribosomal RNA (bases 8-505)
Source: RNAcentral